AGAGACAGCAGUAGCCACGGGAAUACGAAGGGUGCAAGCGUUACUCGGAAUUACUGGGCGUAAAGCGUGCGUAGGUGGUUGUUUAAGUCUGCUGUGAAAGCCCUGGGCUCAACCUGGGAAUUGCAGUGGAUACUGGGCAACUAGAGUAAGGUAGAGGAUAGUGGAAUUUCCGGUGUAGCAGUGAAAUGCGUAGAGAUCGGAAGGAACAUCUGUGGCGAAGGCGACUAUCUGGGCCAUUACUGACACUGAGGCACGAAAGCGUGGGGAGCAAACAGGAUUAGAUACCCCCGUAGUCCCUGUCUCUUAUAC
This 309-nucleotide ribosomal RNA is filed under the name uncultured bacterium. RNAcentral describes it as "partial 16S ribosomal RNA". It matches the Rfam family "Bacterial small subunit ribosomal RNA", at positions 504 to 807 of the family's 1533-position model. The record is from RNAcentral.